RNAcentral lists this ribosomal RNA (446 nucleotides) under Streptococcus intermedius. RNAcentral describes it as "bacterial SSU rRNA". It matches the Rfam family "Bacterial small subunit ribosomal RNA", at positions 28 to 456 of the family's 1533-position model. Lineage: Bacteria; Bacillati; Bacillota; Bacilli; Lactobacillales; Streptococcaceae. The record is from RNAcentral.
GACGAACGCUGGCGGCGUGCCUAAUACAUGCAAGUAGAACGCACAGGAUGCACCGUAGUUUACUACACCGUAUUCUGUGAGUUGCGAACGGGUGAGUAACGCGUAGGUAACCUGCCUGGUAGCGGGGGAUAACUAUUGGAAGCGAUAGCUAAUACCGCAUAAGAACAUUUACUGCAUGGUAGAUGUUUAAAAGGUGCAAAUGCAUCACUACCAGAUGGACCUGCGUUGUAUUAGCUAGUAGGUGAGGUAACGGCUCACCUAGGCGACGAUACAUAGCCGACCUGAGAGGGUGAUCGGCCACACUGGGACUGAGACACGGCCCAGACUCCUACGGGAGGCAGCAGUAGGGAAUCUUCGGCAAUGGGGGGAACCCUGACCGAGCAACGCCGCGUGAGUGAAGAAGGUUUUCGGAUCGUAAAGCUCUGUUGUUAAGGAAGAACGAGUGU